Molecule: long non-coding RNA, 482 nt
Organism: Lates calcarifer (barramundi perch)
Lineage: Eukaryota; Metazoa; Chordata; Actinopteri; Centropomidae
Exons: 3
Source: RefSeq, a predicted model, not a curated record
CAGUAUAUAAUGUGAUUGGGUACACCUGUACCCUCCGCCCUGUUUAAUUAGUACACUCUGCCGUGUGGAGGCGGCAUCGUUGUACGGAGCCUAAUCGGCUAACCACAAGAAACAAAAGAAGACAAACUGCGCGCGCGUGCGUAUAAGUGCGCGCACACCUCCCAGUAAACGGACAACAGACGCUAAAGAAGCAGAGAAAGUGGUCUGAGAAGACGCAGAUUCAAGGUGAUGUAUUGGAUUCAGAUCUGCUGACUGGGGAUGCCACUGAAGUACACUGAACCCACCGUGGUCUUCUGCUGUUGUUGCCCACCUACCUCAAGGUCAAGGAAUAAGGUAGUAUGUUCACAUACUACUACUGCCCUAAAGUCUGCAGACAUCCAAUCAACAGCAACAUUGUGUACAGUGUGACUUCAUCAAGAUAGCAGCUCUACAUCUUGGUAACUGGAUGAGCUCAUCUAAUAAGGUAAGGACGUGGUUAGCCA